AACGAACGCUGGCGGCAGGCCUAACACAUGCAAGUCGAACGCCCUAGCAAUAGGGAGUGGCGCACGGGUGCGUAACGCGUGGGAAUAUGCCCUUCACUGCGGAAUAACGUUUGGAAACGAACGCUAAUACCGCAUAAUGACUCCGGUCCAAAGAUUUAUCGGUGAAGGAUUAGCCCGCGUUAGAUUAGCUAGUUGGUGAGGUAAUGGCUCACCAAGGCGACGAUCUAUAGCUGGUCUGAGAGGAUGAUCAGCCACACUGGGACUGAGACACGGCCCAGACUCCUACGGGAGGCAGCAGUGAGGAAUAUUGGACAAUGGGUGUAAGCCUGAU
RNAcentral lists this ribosomal RNA (331 nucleotides) under uncultured bacterium. RNAcentral describes it as "bacterial SSU rRNA". It matches the Rfam family "Bacterial small subunit ribosomal RNA", at positions 29 to 387 of the family's 1533-position model. The record is from RNAcentral.